AUUGAACGCUGGCGGCAUGCCUUACACAUGCAAGUCGAACGGCAGCACGGGUGCUUGCACCUGGUGGCGAGUGGCGAACGGGUGAGUAAUACAUCGGAACGCACCUUAUCGUGGGGGAUAACGCAGCGAAAGCUGUGCUAAUACCGCAUACGCCCUGAGGGGGAAAGCGGGGGAUCGCAAGACCUCGCGCGAUUAGAGCGGCCGAUGCCUGAUUAGCUUGUUGGUGGGGUAAAAGCCCACCAAGGCGACGAUCAGUAGCUGGUCUGAGAGGACGAUUAGCCACACUGGGACUGAGACACGGACCAGACUCCUACGGGAGGCAGCAGUGGGGAAUUUUGGACAAUGGGGGCAAACCUGAUCCAGCAAUGCCGCGUGAGUGAAGAAGGCCUUCGGGUUGUAAAGCUCUUUUGUCAGGGAAGAAACACCGGCUCUAACACAGUCCGGGAAUGACGGUACCUGAAGAAUAAGCACCGGCUAACUACGUGCCAGCAGCCGCGGUAA
RNAcentral lists this ribosomal RNA (501 nucleotides) under uncultured bacterium. RNAcentral's name for it is "partial 16S ribosomal RNA". It matches the Rfam family "Bacterial small subunit ribosomal RNA", at positions 29 to 523 of the family's 1533-position model. The record is from RNAcentral.